GAGAACACACACGUGGCAGUUUCACUGAUUAAAUAACACAUUUGGUGUAUUCACUAAUAUCAAAUAAAUGACGUCAUUUCACGCUUCUAAUUUAUUUCCUAAUGUACAUUUAGUGAUAAAACCCUACAUACGUGUUAGAGAUACGGCCCCGUGCACCUACUCAAAAUAGUAAAGUCAAAGAACGACCGUCAGAUUCUAUGUCUCCCUCCUCAGCUUAUAAUCAAAUCGUGGCCGUUGAUUCUCUUUUGACUCAGAACGAGCAUUAACGGUGACCUUUUUAUCCGACUUCACCACCAUCGUUGCCGCCGCAUUCGAUCGAUCACUAAUCACAAUUCUCCAGCUCAAGUGGGACAUUCGUGUUCGCCACUCUCUCGCCUGUCACGCGUGUCUCUCACGCUCCACAUUUUUUUUAAUCCCCUUAAUCACACGAUCUUAAGGUGUCUGAUUUCACUAAAAACAUCGGAGGCAAAAAAUGAAAAAUCCCAUGUGCAUGCUCAGUCAAACUCACCCCUCACGUGACACAUUGCCUCUAUCACGUGAUA
Molecule: long non-coding RNA, 542 nt
Organism: Arabidopsis thaliana (thale cress)
Lineage: Eukaryota; Viridiplantae; Streptophyta; Magnoliopsida; Brassicales; Brassicaceae
Product: other RNA
Exons: 1
Source: RefSeq